CAACUACAACUAAAAAAUGUUUUUAAAAAAGAAUGAUAUAUAAUAUCUGAUAUAUAUGUAUAUGCACAUAUAGCAUGCUGACAAUAUGUUUUGUCUAGAAAAUGAUGAAGUACAGGCAAAAUUAGCAUUGCAACUCUGCAGGAAGCCCCAUCCCUUUCUUUUAACUUCCCUCCACUCUACUUGCCUACAUGUACCCUCCACUACAGCCACAACAUUCUGUUAAAAUACCCAUCUUGCUCCUUCUUCCAACAGGAAGCUCCCUUUCCCUUUCCUCCAGCCACAUAAAUGGAACCCAUACAUAACAGGACCCAGCUUAAUACCACAUCUAGAACCACCCAGUGGGACUGGGGCUCCUGUUGCUUCAGCUGUAGAGCUUCUAGCAGAUGAAGGCUAGUGACUGAAUCCUUCUUAGCCAAGGCUAGUUUUUGGAAAAAGAGAGGCAUAUGUGGGUUCCUUGCAGAGUGGUGUGUGGGUAUGUCAUAUUUUGGUCACAGAUUACAAAGUUCCCAUCAGUAAUCCCAGCAAUUCUUUUUUUUUUUUUUUUUUUUUUUGACACUAUUCCAAAGGCUAUGGGAAAAGAUGCAAACUGAUUCUCCAACAGUGUUCAAGGUCUGAGGACUACUAGGAGAGCUGCAUGUGAAAAAUGCCGAUGAAGGAAGUUUAAAAACAUUAAACAGUCUAUGUAGGAAUCCUGAAUUUUUCAAAAGGGUGAGGGGUAGCUUGAGGAAUGCCAAAACUGUCAUCUGAGAGCCAUUCUCUGUACCUCCAGCCCAGGGGUGACCGUAACUAGAAGACCCUUGAUCUUCUUUAAAAAACAGUCCCCUCCUUGCCAUGAGUUCAUUUGCCUGAGAUGAAGUUUGAUAACGUUUGAUGAACCUUUGGGCACACAAGAGGAGCUGUGUUUACUUGAGGGCAGGUACACAUGUUUGAAUUCAGAACAUGGUGAUUGAAGGGUUCCAGGUGAAUUAUGGAGAUGUCAGCAAAGAAAAAAAUUCCCAUGAAAUAUCUCAACCUCCUUUGACUUCUCAUUACCCCUAGAUAUUCCUGUAAUAGAAACAUGUCAGAUGUUCUGGGGGUUCAGAGAAGAAUAGCUUGGUGGAGAGAUCAUUAGUCACAAGACCCAAGAGACACUACAGCAAAUAUACUGGGUUGGUCUUAGUGUGAUAAAAAGUGAGAGAGAUCAAAAUAUUACCAUACGAAAAUCAUUUGGAGAUGAUAAUGGUGACUGAGCCUGAAUGAUUGAGCAAAGAUUACAGAAAACAACUUUUAUCACUUGUGUAGAGGGUUCUCCAGGGAAUCUGCUUGUAAUUUUCUUGCAUCACUUGACAUUAAGGCCCUAGCUACAACAUCAUUGUUUCUUGGACAUAUUCCUAAUAUAUAAAGGAUAUUUACUUCUGAAGCAGAUGACAUUUCUUAUAUUUUAUCAAAAGUAAUACAAGAGUAACUUCUACCUGUAUGGUGGGUAGGAUUUUUGUUUUGUAUUGUUUAUUUGUUGUGAAUCAGACAGUGGUGUUUGUAGGAUGUUUUGAAAGACAGUGGCUUAUGAACUGAGAAAGUUUAUUUCAUAAGACUUGAAGGUUAAUGAUCCAAAGGACUAAUCCUCUGCCUUGUGAAUUUUCCUUUUAGAUGAGCAAAUUUUUAAAGAAAUGAGGAAUUGUAGGAAAGUUCUAGAAAUCAAUUGAAAUCCUAAGAACAAAAAUUAAGAAUUUUCAUUUUUUUAACAAAAGUAAGAAAAUAAAAAAUAAACCUGUAAAUCUAGUCUAAAA
This 1766-nucleotide long non-coding RNA is filed under the name Marmota monax (woodchuck). The record is from RNAcentral. Lineage: Eukaryota; Metazoa; Chordata; Mammalia; Rodentia; Sciuridae.